This 253-nucleotide ribosomal RNA is filed under the name uncultured bacterium. RNAcentral describes it as "partial 16S ribosomal RNA". It matches the Rfam family "Bacterial small subunit ribosomal RNA", at positions 524 to 776 of the family's 1533-position model. The record is from RNAcentral.
GACAGGGGGGGCAAGCGUUGCUCGGAAUCACUGGGCGUAAAGGGCGCGUAGGCGGGAUGGCAAGUCAGUCGUGAAAUCUCUCGGCUCAACCGAGAAACGUCGGCUGAUACUGCCGUUCUUGAGGGAUGCAGAGGAGACUGGAAUUCCCGGUGUAGCGGUGAAAUGUGUAGAGAUCGGGAGGAACACCGGUGGCGAAGGCGGGUCUCUGGGCAUUUCCUGACGCUGAGGCGCGAAAGCGUGGGGAGCAAACGGG